This 547-nucleotide ribosomal RNA is filed under the name uncultured Sphingobium sp. RNAcentral's name for it is "bacterial SSU rRNA". It matches the Rfam family "Bacterial small subunit ribosomal RNA", at positions 988 to 1533 of the family's 1533-position model. Lineage: Bacteria; Pseudomonadati; Pseudomonadota; Alphaproteobacteria; Sphingomonadales; Sphingobiaceae. The record is from RNAcentral.
CCCUAUCGCGGAUCGUGGAGACACUUUCCUUCAGUUCGGCUGGAUAGGUGACAGGUGCUGCAUGGCUGUCGUCAGCUCGUGUCGUGAGAUGUUGGGUUAAGUCCCGCAACGAGCGCAACCCUCGCCUUUAGUUGCCAGCAUUUAGUUGGGCACUCUAAAGGAACCGCCAGUGAUAAGCCGGAGGAAGGUGGGGAUGACGUCAAGUCCUCAUGGCCCUUACGCGUUGGGCUACACACGUGCUACAAUGGCGACUACAGUGGGCAGCCACCUCGCGAGAGGGAGCUAAUCUCCAAAAGUCGUCUCAGUUCGGAUCGUUCUCUGCAACUCGAGAGCGUGAAGGCGGAAUCGCUAGUAAUCGCGGAUCAGCAUGCCGCGGUGAAUACGUUCCCAGGCCUUGUACACACCGCCCGUCACACCAUGGGAGUUGGAUUCACUCGAAGGCGUUGAGCUAACCGUAAGGAGGCAGGCGACCACAGUGGGUUUAGCGACUGGGGUGAAGUCGUAACAAGGCAGCCGUAGGGGAACCUGCGGCUGGAUCACCUCCUUA